UACGUAGGGGGCGAGCGUUAUCCAGAUUUACUGGGCGUAAAGCGCGUGUAGGCGGCUGGUUAGGUGUGAUGUGAAAUCCUCGGGCUCAACCCGAGAACUGCAUUGCAAACCGGCCUGGCUAGAGUGCAGGAGAGGGAAGCGGAAUUCCAGGUGUAGCGGUGAAAUGCGUAGAUAUCUGGAGGAACACCGGUGGCGAAGGCGGCAUCCUGGACCGACACUGACGCUGAGGCGCGAAAGCUAGGGUAGCAAACGGG
RNAcentral lists this ribosomal RNA (254 nucleotides) under uncultured bacterium. RNAcentral describes it as "partial 16S ribosomal RNA". It matches the Rfam family "Bacterial small subunit ribosomal RNA", at positions 524 to 776 of the family's 1533-position model. The record is from RNAcentral.